This 582-nucleotide ribosomal RNA is filed under the name Gallus gallus (chicken). RNAcentral describes it as "partial 16S ribosomal RNA". It matches the Rfam family "Bacterial large subunit ribosomal RNA", at positions 1834 to 2620 of the family's 2925-position model. The record is from RNAcentral. Lineage: Eukaryota; Metazoa; Chordata; Aves; Galliformes; Phasianidae.
CCCAUAAAAGUAUUUGAGGUGAUGCCUGCCCAGUGACCCCCAAAGUUCAACGGCCGCGGUAUCCUAACCGUGCGAAGGUAGCGCAAUCAAUUGUCCCGUAAAUUGAGACUUGUAUGAAUGGCUAAACGAGGUCUUAACUGUCUCCUGUAGGUAAUCUAUGAAAUUAGUAUUCCCGUGCAAAAACGAGAAUGUGAACAUAAGACGAGAAGACCCUGUGGAACUUUAAAAUCACGACCACCUUACAACCUUACACAGCCCCACUGGGUCCACCCACACAUAAACCCCUGGUCGACAUUUUUCGGUUGGGGCGACCUUGGAGAAAAAAAAAUCCUCCAAACCCACAGACCACAACUCUUCACUAAGACCAACUCCUCAAAGUACCAACAGUAACCAGACCCAAUAUAAUUGAGCAAUGGACCAAGCUACCCCAGGGAUAACAGCGCAAUCUCCUCCAAGAGCCCAUAUCGACAAGGAGGUUUACGACCUCGAUGUUGGAUCAGGACAACCUAAUGGUGCAACCGCUAUUAAGGGUUCGUUUGUUCAACGAUUAACAGUCCUACGUGAUCUGAUUCCCAGACCGGA